GGUUUUGUGUGCUAAUGUCUCAUGCCUCAUAGAAGAGCAAGAGUGGCUAGACAACUUGUGAAGAAGCACUACUCUAGAUUACCUCAGAUGGCAACUAUGUGCCCUGAACUGCUGUGAGGGUAUUUCUGGGAUCAUCAGCCAUCCCAUGGGGGAAAUGAGUCAGCAAAAGCGAGCCUGGAGUUUUGUCCUUACCCUUUGCUGCCUGGCCACAAGCUCAGCUGCAUGCGGUGAAGGUGAUGCAGUCAGAACUUGGCAAAACAGAAGCUGUGCGUCAUUUAACUUACCUAGGUGACUGAUGGAGCAGAAAAACUAACGACCCAUGAAGGAACAAAUGUUUCUCAAACAAAAGGUAAAUAAAUCUGAUAAUGGAGCUGUAAGGAUGGGUGAAAACCAGAGGUUGUAAGUGCCCUUAAAUCCCCCUGAAACUGCGGUCUCAGACCUUCUAUUUCUAUGAGGAGGAGAAAAGCAAUAACUUUGGGGGUGUCGAAAGCUGUGAUGCAGAGAAAAUUAAUGUUUACAUCAUUUUAAAAUGCAUACAGUUUGUAAUACACAUUGAGAGCUAGCUGAGCACAAAACUGCAAAAUGCAUUGCAUUGUAAGUGCACUGCAAUGGCUGCAGAGAGCCCCCGGGUCGCACUGCCGGGAUGGGAUGUCAGCUGGAUCCAACGGUGCCAUAAGAAUUCCUCAUCAAGGUGUGUUUAAACUCCAAGAAUACAAAAUCAUUUUCCAUUAAGUAUGAUAGCUACAUACUCAUUUUUAGUGUUCUCCUUUCUCAUGCUAUUCACUUUAUUGCUGUCCACCUCCGGAUUUCUGCUAUUAUGGGAUUUCUUACUGGGCUGAUGCUUGGCCAAUAUUUGUCCGACUUCUCUUUUUUUUUUUGUCUCCUGUGAA
Oxyura jamaicensis (ruddy duck) is the source of this 890-nucleotide long non-coding RNA. RefSeq lists it as uncharacterized. NCBI's taxonomy places the organism in Eukaryota, Metazoa, Chordata, Aves, Anseriformes, Anatidae. The transcript is spliced from 3 exons. The record is from RefSeq and is a predicted model, not a curated record.